RNAcentral lists this ribosomal RNA (366 nucleotides) under uncultured eukaryote. RNAcentral's name for it is "partial 18S ribosomal RNA". It matches the Rfam family "Eukaryotic small subunit ribosomal RNA", at positions 592 to 976 of the family's 1831-position model. The record is from RNAcentral.
CAAUAGCGUAUAUUAAAGUUGUUGCAGUUAAAAAGCUCGUAGUUGAAUUUCUGGCGGGCGCGCCGGUCUUCCAAGUGUUGUACUGGGCGCAGUCCGCCAUCCUUGUGGAGAGGGCUCGCAUUGAGUUGCGUGUCGGAUCUGCAUCAUUUACUGUGAAAAAAUUAGAGUGUUUAAAGCAGGCUGUCGCUCGAAUACAUUAGCAUGGAAUAAUAAGAUAGGACUUCGGUCUAUUUUGUUGGUUGCGAACCGAGGUAAUGAUUAAUAGGGAUAGUUGGGGGUAUUCAUAUUUAAUUGUCAGAGGUGAAAUUCUUGGAUUUAUGAAAGAUGAACAACUGCGAAAGCAUUUACCAAGGAUGUUUUCAUUAA